RNAcentral lists this ribosomal RNA (49 nucleotides) under Morus alba (white mulberry). Its description in RNAcentral is "partial 28S ribosomal RNA". Lineage: Eukaryota; Viridiplantae; Streptophyta; Magnoliopsida; Rosales; Moraceae. The record is from RNAcentral.
GACCCCACGGUCAGCGCGGGGCUACCACCGUGAGUUUACAGCAUAUCAA